AUGGUGUGUGUCUGGGGACGAGAACACCCAGUUUUUCACGCAGCGGCCAAUUGCCAAGCUCGCCGUAACAAGGUCAAAGUGCUUGUUCAGGACAGGGUGGAGCAUUUUGAUAUCGGUCAGAAGCUGCGGUUGGCUACUGAUUACUUUAAGGCAAUCUUGGGACAACCUGCAUCCUCGAUUGACACUGUCGAUGUUGGUUCUCUUUAUACUCUGCUGGACCUGUCGGAGCUCACAGCUGAGUUCUCCUGGGCUGAGAUUGUGCAGGCUAUUAAUUGUUCGCCAAAUAACAAAAGUCCGGGCCCUGAUGGUUUUACCAAUGAGUUUUACAAGGCUUUCAAGUUACUGAUAAAGGAUGAUAUCCUAAGGUUUUUUGGUGAUUUCCAUAAAAAUGAAGUGGAUCUCUCUGGUAUCAACUCUGCUUUCAUUACCCUGCUACCUAAAAAAGAAACACCUCUAGAAAUGCAUGAUUCUAGACCGAUUUCUCUUGUGCAUAGUGUGCCUAAGCUGGCCUCUACGGUUCUGGCUAGUCGGCUCAAAAUAUGGAUUCCCCACUUGAUCCACAUGCUUCAGUCCGGCUUCCUGAAGGGCCGAUCGAUCAUUGAGAACUUUGCUUUGGCUGCCGAAAUGAUCCAGUAUGCUCAUAAAAGAAAACUGCCAGUCAUUGCUUUGAAGUUGGACUUUCAUAAGGCCUUCGACAACGUCUGUUAG
RNAcentral lists this ribosomal RNA (708 nucleotides) under Triticum aestivum (bread wheat). Its description in RNAcentral is "partial small subunit ribosomal RNA". The record is from RNAcentral. Lineage: Eukaryota; Viridiplantae; Streptophyta; Magnoliopsida; Poales; Poaceae.